ACUCAAAUGAAUAGACGGGGGCCCGCACAAGCGGUGGAGUAUGUGGCUUAAUUCGAUGCAACGCGAAGAACCUUACCAGGCCUUGACAUGCAUUGCUAAUUUGGUGAAAGCCAAAGACGGUAGCAAUACCGACCUUGCACAGGUGCUGCAUGGCUGUCGUCAGCUCGUGUCGUGAGAUGUUGGGUUAAGUCCCGCAACGAGCGCAACCCUUAUGGACUGUUGCUAGCGGUUCUGCCGCGCACUCUGUUCAGACUGCCCUGUGAAACGGGGAGGAAGGUGAGGAUGACGUCAAGUCAGGAUGGCCCUUACGGCCUGGGCUGCACACGUACUACAAUGUCCAGCACAAAUUGACCCGAGGCUGCGAAGCUGAGGAAAUCACUAAAACUGGACCCAAUUCGGAUUGCAGGCUGCAACUCGCCUGCAUGAAGCUGGAAUCGCUAGUAAUGGCGCAUCAGCUACGGCGCCGUGAAUACGUUCCCGGGCCUUGUACACACCGCCCGU
This 501-nucleotide ribosomal RNA is filed under the name uncultured bacterium. RNAcentral describes it as "partial 16S ribosomal RNA". It matches the Rfam family "Bacterial small subunit ribosomal RNA", at positions 899 to 1397 of the family's 1533-position model. The record is from RNAcentral.